UACGGAGGGUGCAAGCGUUAUCCGGAUUCACUGGGUUUAAAGGGUGUGUAGGCGGGUAUUUAAGUCAGUGGUGAAAUCUCCAGGCUCAACCUGGAAACUGCCAUUGAUACUAUUUAUCUUGAAUAUUGUUGAGGUAGGCGGAAUAUAUCAUGUAGCGGUGAAAUGCUUAGAUAUGAUAUAGAACACCGAUUGCGAAGGCAGCUUACUAAACAAUCAUUGACGCUGAGGCACGAAAGCGUGGGGAUCAAACAGG
Molecule: ribosomal RNA, 253 nt
Filed under: uncultured bacterium
Lineage: Bacteria
Description: partial 16S ribosomal RNA
Rfam family: Bacterial small subunit ribosomal RNA
Source: RNAcentral